CCUACGGUGGGCAGCAGUAGGGAAUUUUCGGCAAUGGGCGGAACCCUGACCGAGCAACGCCGCGUGAACGAAGAAGGUAUUCGGAAUGUAAAGUUCUUUUAAUCGGGGAGCAAGAGGAAUUUGACGGUACCUGAAGAAUGUGCUCCGGCUAACUACGUUCAAGAAGCCGCGGUAAUACGUAGGGAGCGAGCGUUAUCCGGAAUUAUUGGACGUAAAGGGUGCGUAGAUGGCAUAGAAAGUCUUUUGUAAAAAUGCUGGGCUAAACCCAGUAGGGCAAAAGAUACUGCAAAGCUAGAGUAUGACAGAGGCAAGUGGAACUGCAGGGGUAGCGGUAAAAUGCGUAAAUAUAGGUAAGAACACCAGUGGCGAAGGCGGCUUGCUGGGUCGAUACUGACAGUGAGGCACGAAAGCGUGGGGAGCAAACAGGAUUAGAUACCCCGGUAGUC
RNAcentral lists this ribosomal RNA (446 nucleotides) under uncultured bacterium. RNAcentral describes it as "partial 16S ribosomal RNA". It matches the Rfam family "Bacterial small subunit ribosomal RNA", at positions 338 to 795 of the family's 1533-position model. The record is from RNAcentral.